Sinocyclocheilus anshuiensis is the source of this 1684-nucleotide long non-coding RNA. Lineage: Eukaryota; Metazoa; Chordata; Actinopteri; Cypriniformes; Cyprinidae. The record is from Ensembl.
AAGUGAAAGAACACUAAACACAUGCAAAAGAAUCAUGGAGCGAUCUGUGAGCAACAAGCUCUGCUGAAUUAUUGCCUGCAGUUAAUUGAAGAUACUAACCCUUGUGAAGAACAUAAUGUACAUAUGCAGUGUUCUAAACAAAUUUCAACAAAAUUAUCAGUUGACACACAUUAGUUGCACUUCUCUGGCACUGACCUUAAACAACAAAGCUACCGUUUAAAGAUGUUAAUGCAAGAGGAGAAACAUCUGAACACCAGUUGCAGUAUUCCUCAUCUGCUGCCCGAGUACAUUCAGGAGCAAUUCAACCCUCCGUUCAACUUUGACGACCCCUCUCUGCACUACAUCACCCACGUCAGCCCGCGUAUCCUUGACAACCUCACACCUCAACAGAAGCGCCGGUACCGAUAACACAGGCCCUGUGCGGUUCAUGCAGCAUCAGUGCAGAUGUAUAUAUCUGUACAUUUGUGUGAUCUCAAUAUGAUAUUAUUUAUAUUAAAAAGAGACUGCUGACUUUUAGUCAUGUGUGAAAGUGAAAGAGCACCAGACAUGCAAAAGAAACAUGGCGCGAUCUGUGAGCAACAAGUUCUGCUGAAUUAUUGCCGCAGUUAUUUGAAGAUACUAACUCUUGUGAAGAAAAUAAUGUGCAUAUGUAUGCAUUACAGUAAUAAAAAUAGUGGUAAAAUAUGCUUUAAUGUUAUGAAAUAAUGUCAAAUACCACAAAAAAAAACACCUUAGUUUGGGGGUGAAAUAUGGCAUUCUUCAAGGAAUUUGAAAUAAUGGUCAAUAAGAUCUUACACAUAAGUGAAAUGUUUCUCUGGUCAGAAUUAUCCUCUUGAAAGCAAAGCAGCUGAAUGUAUGUACAGUAUGUUGUCUAUAAGCAAACAUAUGGCACCAUCAAACCCACUCAAACACUUUUUCUUAAAAUACUUAGCAAUGGUUAUGAUAUUUCUAUACCCACUACGUUUUUCCUCAAAUAAAAUAAAAUAAAAAUCAUCAAUGCCAUGGGAUCAGUUUGAAUUCAAAUCAAAUGCAUUUAUUCAUCUUUUAUAUUUAAGGUCUCUGAGACCCCAAACAAAAGUCAUAUGUUUCCUUGCAGGUUGUUUGAAGUGAGUUAUUGAGUUAUCUACUUGGUUCUUCAAUUUCAAGUAUGAUAUUUGAGCCUUUAAUAAAUCCUUGGGGUCUCUGAGUCCCCCAAAACAACAUGAUCUUCUCACUUUCAUGAGAGCAGAAAUAUCCUUUUACAUGUAAAUAUGUCAUUGUAUUGUAUAACUUGAGAGGUGUAACCUGGGUGGACGACUGUCACUUAGCUAUGUUCCAGCUUUGCAGGUUACCUGGAAACAACUGGCUUCUAUACACAACCCUUUUUUCCAUUCAGAUAAGACUUGUUGACAUCCAUUCUCUCUUAUUCCAUUUGUAGUGACAUUGUUUAAUGGCAUGAAGUAAUGUCAGCUGGGGAUCAAAAUUGAUGCCUAGUUGAAUCUGCAUUUGCCACACAGAAGCAGUAAACUCUUAAAAGAAAGAGCUAUUGGCUGCCCUUAUGGUCCUGCCAUUGGACUCUGCACUUUGCAUGUGUUUAUCUCCCAGCCAUAAAACAAUAAAGUUUAGGAUGUGAACUAAGCUCUUUCAUGCUCCGGUCUUAUCUCCCCUUUACGUCAUUUCUGCAAGCCCUUGACUUGCUUUUUGC